This is a long non-coding RNA of Pieris rapae (cabbage white), 571 nucleotides long. RefSeq lists it as uncharacterized. Lineage: Eukaryota; Metazoa; Arthropoda; Insecta; Lepidoptera; Pieridae. The transcript is spliced from 2 exons. The record is from RefSeq and is a predicted model, not a curated record.
UUUCAUUCGUCGUUGGGAGCUGCCACGUGCCGUAAGUGUCAAUGAGAUAUUGAGGCAAAUAUAUAACACAAUGGGGAGUACCAAUUUAAAUGAACACGAAAUCCUGGCCGCUCUUAUGCAAAGUGAUGAUGCUUCCGUGUGAGGACACCGACAGUAAAGUAGCGGACCACGACAGUGAAGAUGAAGUGCAGAGUAACACAGAAGAAGGGUUUGUAGACGAGAUACAAGAAGAACAGCCGACACCAAGCGGAAGUAAUAUCUUAGAAGAGCAAAGCAGUACUGCGCAACCAGUCUCCACAUCGGCCUUUCGUAGGAUCGUAGCCUUGCAACAGAGGACAAUUGGUUUACCUCAAUCCCUUUGGCAACAAGCUUGCUCCAAGAAUCUUAUAAGUUAACCAUUGUGGGAACCAUACGAUCAAACACCGUGAGAUACCGGAAGAGCUAAAAAACAGUCCCUCCAGGCUAGUGGGGACAUCGAUGUUUUGUUUUGACGGACCCCUUACUCUCGUCUCCUACAAACCGAAACCGGCAAAAAUGGUUUAUUUGUUAUCAUCUUGUGAGGAGAAUGCUA